RNAcentral lists this ribosomal RNA (253 nucleotides) under uncultured bacterium. RNAcentral describes it as "partial 16S ribosomal RNA". It matches the Rfam family "Bacterial small subunit ribosomal RNA", at positions 524 to 776 of the family's 1533-position model. The record is from RNAcentral.
UACGUAGGGUGCAAGCGUUGUCCGGAAUUAUUGGGCGUAAAGAGCUUGUAGGCGGUUUGUCGCGUCUGCUGUGAAAAUCCGGGACUCAACCCCGGACCUGCAGUGGGUACGGGCAGACUAGAGUGUGGUAGGGGAGACUGGAAUUCCUGGUGUAGCGGUGAAAUGCGCAGAUAUCAGGAGGAACACCGAUGGCGAAGGCAGGUCUCUGGGCCACUACUGACGCUGAGAAGCGAAAGCAUGGGGAGCGAACAGG